UGGGGAAUUUUUGGACAAUGGGCGAAAGCCUGAUCCAGCAAUGCCGCGUGUGUGAAGAAGGCCUUCGGGUUGUAAAGCACUUUUGUCCGGAAAGAAAUCCUUGGCUCUAAUACAGUCGGGGGAUGACGGUACCGGAAGAAUAAGCACCGGCUAACUACGUGCCAGCAGCCGCGGUAAUACGUAGGGUGCAAGCGUUAAUCGGAAUUACUGGGCGUAAAGCGUGCGCAGGCGGUUUGCUAAGACCGAUGUGAAAUCCCCGGGCUCAACCUGGGAACUGCAUUGGUGACUGGCAGGCUAGAGUAUGGCAGAGGGGGGUAGAAUUCCACGUGUAGCAGUGAAAUGCGUAGAGAUGUGGAGGAAUACCGAUGGCGAAGGCAGCCCCCUGGGCCAAUACUGACGCUCAUGCACGAAAGCGUGGGAGCAAACAGGAUUAGAUACCCUGGUAGUCACGCCCUAAACGAUGUCAACUAGUUGUUGGGGAUUCAUUUCCUAGUAACGUAGCUAACGCGUGAAGUUGACCGCCUGGGGAGUACGGUCGCAAGAUUAAAACUCAAAGGAAUUGACGGGGUCAUAGCUGUUUCCU
RNAcentral lists this ribosomal RNA (583 nucleotides) under uncultured bacterium. RNAcentral describes it as "partial 16S ribosomal RNA". It matches the Rfam family "Bacterial small subunit ribosomal RNA", at positions 355 to 1375 of the family's 1533-position model. The record is from RNAcentral.